This 422-nucleotide ribosomal RNA is filed under the name uncultured bacterium. RNAcentral's name for it is "bacterial SSU rRNA". It matches the Rfam family "Bacterial small subunit ribosomal RNA", at positions 355 to 774 of the family's 1533-position model. The record is from RNAcentral.
UAAGGAAUAUUGGACAAUGGAGGCAACUCUGAUCCAGCCAUGCCGCGUGAAGGAAUAAGGCCCUAUGGGUUGUAAACUUCUUUUAGACGGGACAAAACCCCUUUACGUGUAAAGGGUUGAUGGUACUGUCAGAAUAAGCAUCGGCUAGCUUCGUGCCAGCAGCCGCGGUAAUACGAAGGAUGCAAGCGUUAUCCGGAAUUAUUGGGUUUAAAGGAUGCGUAGGCGGACUAAUAAGUCAGUGGUGAAAGCCUGCAGCUUAACUUCGGAAUUGCCAUUGAUACUGUUAGUCUUGAGUACAGUGGAGGUAGGCGGAAUGUGUCAUGUAGCGGUGAAAUUCUUAGAUAUGACACAGAACACCGAUUGCGAAGGCAGCUUGCUAAGCUGUAACUGACGCUGAGGCACGAAAGCGUGGGGAGCAAACA